AUGUUCUCUACGGACGGGUGAGUAACACGUGGGUAACCUGCCUGUAAGACUGGGAUAACUCCGGGAAACCGGGGCUAAUACCGGAUGCUUGUUUGAACCGCAUGGUUCAAACAUAAAAGGUGGCUUCGGCUACCACUUACAGAUGGACCCGCGGCGCAUUAGCUAGUUGGUGAGGUAAUGGCUCACCAAGGCAACGAUGCGUAGCCGACCUGAGAGGGUGAUCGGCCACACUGGGACUGAGACACGGCCCACACUCCUACGGGAGGCAGCAGUAGGGAAUCUUCCGCAAUGGACGAAAGUCUGACGGAGCAACGCCGCGUGAGUGAUGAGGGUUUUCGGAUCUUAAAGCUCUGUUGUUAGGGAAGAACAAUUACCCUUCCAAUAUGGAGGUACCUUUACUUCUCCUAUCCCGAAAGCCACACCU
This 424-nucleotide ribosomal RNA is filed under the name Bacillus mojavensis. Its description in RNAcentral is "bacterial SSU rRNA". It matches the Rfam family "Bacterial small subunit ribosomal RNA", at positions 89 to 498 of the family's 1533-position model. The record is from RNAcentral. Lineage: Bacteria; Bacillati; Bacillota; Bacilli; Caryophanales; Bacillaceae.